Molecule: ribosomal RNA, 1323 nt
Filed under: uncultured bacterium
Lineage: Bacteria
Description: 16S ribosomal RNA
Rfam family: Bacterial small subunit ribosomal RNA
Source: RNAcentral
UAGCGGCGGACGGGUGAGUAACGCGUGGGUAAUCUACCUCGUAGUUCGGGAUAACAGGCCGAAAGGCUUGCUAAUACCGGAUGAGUUCAUGCUUAUGCAUAUAGGCAUGAAGAAAGGGCUAGCCCGCUAUGAGAUGAGCCCGCGUCCCAUUAGCUUGUUGGUGGGGUAACGGCCUACCAAGGCAACGAUGGGUAGCCGGCCUGAGAGGGUGUACGGCCACACUGGGACUGAGACACGGCCCAGACUCCUACGGGGGGCAGCAGUAGGGAAUUUUCGGCAAUGGGCGAAAGCCUGACCGAGCGACGCCGCGUGAGGGACGAAGGCCUUCGGGUUGUAAACCUCUGUCUGGGGGGAUGAGAACGGACGGUACCCCCGGAGGAAGCCCCGGCUAACUACGUGCCAGCAGCCGCGGUAAUACGUAGGGGGCUAGCGUUGUCCGGAAUCACUGGGCGUAAAGGGUACGUAGGCGGAUAUAUAAGUCAAAUGUGAAAGGCACCGGCUUAACCGGUGAGCUGCAUUUGAAACUGUAUAUCUUGAGUUCAGGAGAGGAGAGCGGAAUUCCUGGUGUAGCGGUGGAAUGCGUAGAUAUCAGGAAGAACACCAGUGGCGAANGGCGGCUCUCUGGCCUGAAACUGACGCUCAGGUACGAAAGCUGGGGUAGCAAACGGGAUUAGAUACCCCGGUAGUCCCAGCCGUAAACGAUGGACACUAGGUGUUGGGGGUUCGAAUCCUUCAGUGCCGAAGUUAACGCAUUAAGUGUCCCGCCUGGGGAGUACGGUCGCAGGACUGAAACUCAAAGGAAUUGACGGGGGCCCGCACAAGCGGUGGAGCAUGUGGCUUAAUUCGAUGCAACGCGCAGAACCUUACCGAGACUUGACAUCCCGUGCCUAUCUGUGAAAGCAGAGUCUGCCUUCGGGCGCACGGAGACAGGUGGUGCAUGGUUGUCGUCAGCUCGUGUCGUGAGAUGUUGGGUUAAGUCCCGCAACGAGCGCAACCCCUGUCCUUAGUUACCAGCGAGUAAAGUCGGGGACUCUAAGGAGACAGCCGGUGAAAGCCGGAGGAAGGUGGGGAUGACGUCAAAUCAUCAUGCCCUUUAUGUCUCGGGCUACACACGUGCUACAAUGGUCAGUACAGAGGGAAGCGAAGUGGUGACAUGGAGCCAAUCUCAGAAAGCUGAUCCCAGUUCGGAUUGCAGGCUGCAACUCGCCUGCAUGAAGCCGGAAUCGCUAGUAAUCGCAGGUCAGCAUACUGCGGUGAAUACGUUCCCGGGCCUUGUACACACCGCCCGUCACACCACCCGAGUUAGAUGCACCAGAAGUCAUU